GUUAAGCUUAACGAGGGGAUGCUUUACAAACAUUCAGAGAUGAACUUACACACUUGCUUUACUUCUCUCUGGGAUAACCUCGGAGAUGAAAUGCUGGUUUGCUAGGAGGCUACAAAUACACGCAGCCGCUCUAUCAAGUGACGCACACUGCUCUGACGUGCUACGGUUAUGAGCCGAGUUACGCCGUGUUGCAAGUUUUGUGAGGUGCUUUUUUGAUAUUUAAUGGAUCGGAUUACAUUUUUUAUUUCUCUCCGAUAUCCGAUCCAGUAAUUUACGUCAGUAUCGGACCGGUCCAUCUCUAGUAGAUAGAGUCAUAUUAUUUACUUAGGGAAAUGCACAAGUAUUGCUAUUCAUUUAACUCCAUUAGAAAGCAGCAGUGAAACUCACAGUGGAUGUGCAGACUACUUACAGGAAAUUUUAGGUAGAAAACUACCGGGAACUCCUGUGAAGUGACAUGAAAAUGGAAGUGGAGCUUCUGACAACCAUCCGUACAUGAGCACCGUACAGAAGGGCACUGACUUCAGAAGAACUGCAAAAAAUAACAGCAAAGUAAAAUCUUGCAGUCUACUGAAAUGACAAGUCUUCUUGAUCAUAAAUGAGAAAGGAAGAACAGCUUCAGACAUUUUAGUCAGAAUGGUGUGAAAAACAGAAAACAUCCAGGGAGCAGCAGGUCUGCAGGACGUGUUCUGUGUUCUGAGAUGCAACCCCUUGAAGCUGAACAGCUGAAAACCAUGUCGGAUUCGAUUCCUGUGAGGCUGCUGUGGACACAGUCUUCCCAGCCUUCCCAACUAUUCUCCUAGACAUGGGGAAAC
Long non-coding RNA from Oreochromis niloticus (Nile tilapia), 812 nucleotides. RefSeq lists it as uncharacterized. The transcript has 3 exons. The record is from RefSeq and is a predicted model, not a curated record. NCBI's taxonomy places the organism in Eukaryota, Metazoa, Chordata, Actinopteri, Cichliformes, Cichlidae.